Molecule: ribosomal RNA, 736 nt
Filed under: Bacillus pumilus
Lineage: Bacteria; Bacillati; Bacillota; Bacilli; Caryophanales; Bacillaceae
Description: bacterial SSU rRNA
Rfam family: Bacterial small subunit ribosomal RNA
Source: RNAcentral
GGGGUGCUAUACAUGCAAGUCGAAGCGGACAGAAGGGAAGCUUGCUCCCGGAUGUUAGCGGCGGACGGGUGAGUAACACGUGGGUAACCUGCCUGUAAGACUGGGAUAACUCCGGGAAACCGGAGCUAAUACCGGAUAGUUCCUUGAACCGCAUGGUUCAAGGAUGAAAGACGGUUUCGGCUGUCACUUACAGAUGGACCCGCGGCGCAUUAGCUAGUUGGUGGGGUAAUGGCUCACCAAGGCGACGAUGCGUAGCCGACCUGAGAGGGUGAUCGGCCACACUGGGACUGAGACACGGCCCAGACUCCUACGGGAGGCAGCAGUAGGGAAUCUUCCGCAAUGGACGAAAGUCUGACGGAGCAACGCCGCGUGAGUGAUGAAGGUUUUCGGAUCGUAAAGCUCUGUUGUUAGGGAAGAACAAGUGCGAGAGUAACUGCUCGCACCUUGACGGUACCUAACCAGAAAGCCACGGCUAACUACGUGCCAGCAGCCGCGGUAAUACGUAGGUGGCAAGCGUUGUCCGGAAUUAUUGGGCGUAAAGGGCUCGCAGGCGGUUUCUUAAGUCUGAUGUGAAAGCCCCCGGCUCAACCGGGGAGGGUCAUUGGAAACUGGGAAACUUGAGUGCAGAAGAGGAGAGUGGAAUUCCACGUGUAGCGGUGAAAUGCGUAGAGAUGUGGAGGAACACCAGUGGCGAAGGCGACUCUCUGGUCUGUAACUGACGCUGAGGAGCGAAAGC